Molecule: non-coding RNA, 125 nt
Organism: Pelobates cultripes (western spadefoot toad)
Lineage: Eukaryota; Metazoa; Chordata; Amphibia; Anura; Pelobatidae
Source: the annotation of a GenBank genome assembly
AUAACAAUACAGGACUCUUUAGAGGCCCUGUAAUUGUAAAGAGUCCACUUGAAAUCCUUUAACUCUGAUCAAUUGCAGGGUAAGUCUGGUGCAGAACGACUGACCUGUGCGUGCUGCAGCUGAAA